RNAcentral lists this ribosomal RNA (480 nucleotides) under uncultured bacterium. RNAcentral describes it as "bacterial SSU rRNA". It matches the Rfam family "Bacterial small subunit ribosomal RNA", at positions 28 to 507 of the family's 1533-position model. The record is from RNAcentral.
GAUGAACGCUGGCGGCGUGCUUAACACAUGCAAGUCGAACGAAGCACUUUUACAGAUUUCUUCGGAAUGAAGUUUUAGUGACUGAGUGGCGGACGGGUGAGUAACGCGUGGGUAACCUGCCUCACACAGGGGGAUAACAGUUGGAAACGGCUGCUAAUACCGCAUAAGCGCACAGUACCGCAUGGUACAGUGUGAAAAACUCCGGUGGUGUGAGAUGGACCCGCGUCUGAUUAGCUAGUUGGCAGGGCAACGGCCUACCAAGGCGACGAUCAGUAGCCGACCUGAGAGGUUGAACGGCCACAUUGGGACUGAGAUACGGCCCAGACUCCUACGGGAGGCAGCAGUCGGGAAUAUUGCGCAAUGGAGGAAACUCUGACGCAGUGACGCCGCGUAUAGGAAGAAGGUUUUCGGAUUGUAAACUAUUGUCGUUAGGGAAGAUACAAGACAGUACCUAAGGAGGAAGCUCCGGCUAACUACGUG